UUGACUGAUGUUAUUUUUGAGUUCCAGGAAUCAACGGAGACGCUCAUAAAAUCUAGCUAACCAUUGCUUAGUUUACUAAAUUGAUUAGCUAGCUACGCACAAUUUCAUCGUAAUAGGAAUUGGAUAGGCAUUUGCAAGCUAGUUACAUUAGCCAGCAUAACAUGUAUGUCGUAGUGAAUUAUACACGAAAGUUACAGACCCUAGCAUUUAAUCUAGGGCCUUCGUGCUACCGCCAAGGUGUCACAGGAGUUUCCAUAACGUCGCAGGACCGAAAAUCCAAGCAAAACUUUAGCUGCUUUCGUUGGACUCAUCUGAUAACUUUAGUACAUCAAUACAGUACCCGAAUUUACAACUCUAAGGUGCCCAGGGUAGCAACAUGGGAGCCUGUAUUGGAGAACCAGCUACCCCCAGCUUGCCAAGUUCCUGUAGACCUUGUUGACAAAUUGGAGAGACUAGCCCUGGUUGAUUUCCGCAACCAGGAGGGGCUGGCCUGUCUGGAGAAAGCCAUCCGAUUUGCAGAUCAGCUCCAUGUUGUUGACACAGAUGGGGUUGACCCAAUGGAUUCAGUUCUGGAGGAAAGGGCACUGUAUCUGAGGGAGGAUGCCGUGGCAGAGGGGAACUGUGCAGAGGAACUGCUCCAGCUCUCCAAAAACACAGUGGAGGAGUACUUUGUGGCACCGCCAGGUAACAUUCCACUACCGAAGAGAGAGGAGAGAGCUGCCAUGUUGAAGCACUCAGAGAUCUGAGUCAAAGUAGACUAUCGGUAGUGACGAGGGGGUGGGCUGCGGCUUGAUGGGCUACGGUGUGCUGCAGAGGAGCGACGUGGAGGGGGGCUAUGGCGAGACAAUCUGCGAGCAGGGGGUGACUGAUAACGAGGGGGUGGAGAGCCGCGACCUUGAUAAGCGGGCGCCGCAUGGCAUACUCCAUGUCCUCUCUGCGCAGGAACUCCACCACCCCUUCCCCAUCCCGCUGAACAUCUGUGAAACAAACAUCUCCAGCCUCCCUCAUGUGAUCUUUCAAGUCUUGCCAGCUCCCAGUCGGAGGCAGGCCUGUGGGAACAGAGAGCAAACCAUUGAGAACUUUGGCCUUUAUAGGCAACGCCCAACAAUACCAGUGUACAUCUAACCUGCUGUAAAUGGAAGGAAGAGAGGAGCUUUGAAUUAAAAAAACAAAAACAAAAGCAGACUUUAUCCACUUACCAGUCACAAUAACUCUGAACUCUGAUCUCCGAGUAGGAGGCCCAAACCUCCCUUUAGGACCACCGGGACCUCCGUCCCCACUCCCUCGACCACUACCACCCAUAGAACCGUUGAAUUUAGAGGAGGCAGAGCGAGGGUGCUCAACGCGAAGCUUGCAGUCUCCAAAUCCAUAACCAUUCCUCCCAUAGACUGCAUCCUCGGCAUCCCUGAUACAUAAGGACAUGUCAAUUUGAUUAACACAUUGCAUAUGGGAGUCCGUCUAUUUAUCUAUCUUAGCACCCCAAUGGUGGAACGAGCUUCCCCCUAACGUCAGGACAGCAGAGUCCGUGCUCAUCUUCCGAAAAUGUCUGAAACCCUACCUCUUCAAAAAGUAUCUUACAUAAACUAGAUAGACUUUUCCACUUCACAAUAACAGCACUUACAGUUGAAGAGGGCAGCUAAGUCCCUGCUAGAGCAGCCCCGGUCAACUGUAUGUGCUGUUAUUGUGAAGUGGAAACAAUAGGUCGAUCUAUGAGUGGAAGGGGAGAGAGGGGUAGAGGUGUUUGUGGGGGAGGGAUGGGGUGAGUAUGCAUCUGUUGACUGACAAAAACAGAUUUUGCUUAUAUUAUUACGCACAAUUCAUCAACUGUGGGAAUGAAUUAAGAUAUAUAGUACCAGUCAAAAGUUGACACCUACUCAUUCCAAGGUUUUAAUUUAUUUGUACUAUUUUCUACAUUGUAGAAUAAUAGUGAAGACAUCAAAAC
Molecule: RNA transcript, 1942 nt
Organism: Salvelinus namaycush (lake trout)
Lineage: Eukaryota; Metazoa; Chordata; Actinopteri; Salmoniformes; Salmonidae
Gene: gatc
Gene name: glutamyl-tRNA amidotransferase subunit C
Exons: 7
Source: RefSeq, a predicted model, not a curated record